Molecule: ribosomal RNA, 468 nt
Filed under: uncultured bacterium
Lineage: Bacteria
Description: partial 16S ribosomal RNA
Rfam family: Bacterial small subunit ribosomal RNA
Source: RNAcentral
GACGAACGCUGGCGGCGUGCUUAACACAUGCAAGUCGAACGGAAAGGCCCUGCUUUUGUGGGGUGCUCGAGUGGCGAACGGGUGAGUAACACGUGAGUAACCUGCCCUUGACUUUGGGAUAACUUCAGGAAACUGGGGCUAAUACCGGAUAGGAGCUCCUGCUGCAUGGUGGGGGUUGGAAAGUUUCGGCGGUUGGGGAUGGACUCGCGGCUUAUCAGCUUGUUGGUGGGGUAGUGGCUUACCAAGGCUUUGACGGGUAGCCGGCCUGAGAGGGUGACCGGCCAGAUUGGGCCUGAGGUACGGCCCAGACUCCUACGGGAGGCAGCAGUGGGGAAUAUUGCACAGUGAGCGGAAGCCUGCUGCAGCAACGCCGCGUGCGGGAUGACGGCCUUCGGGUUGUAACCCGCUUUCGCCUGUGACGAAGCGUGAGUGACGGUAAUGGGUAACGAAGCACCGGCUAACUACGUG